UCUGACCUCUGACCUCAAAUCAGGUA
Molecule: ribosomal RNA, 26 nt
Filed under: Perenniporia fraxinea
Lineage: Eukaryota; Fungi; Basidiomycota; Agaricomycetes; Polyporales; Polyporaceae
Description: Vanderbylia fraxinea partial 28S ribosomal RNA
Source: RNAcentral